Long non-coding RNA from Pogoniulus pusillus (Red-fronted tinkerbird), 969 nucleotides. RefSeq lists it as uncharacterized. The record is from RefSeq and is a predicted model, not a curated record. NCBI's taxonomy places the organism in Eukaryota, Metazoa, Chordata, Aves, Piciformes, Lybiidae. The transcript is spliced from 4 exons.
UGCUAGUGCCUAUUGGCCAGUUUGAUCUUCAAAAUGUAGUAUUUAAAGAGGGAUGAUUUAGAAACUCUGCCUUUCUGCACCUGCCUUCAGCCUGGGGCCAUCCUGCCUCUCCUCAUUUGCAGCUCAUUGACAGCAGCCACGUGUAUGCAGCUCGCAGCCACCAGCUUAGCAGCAUCUCUCUGCCUGGAACAUUGUGUAUGCUACCCUGGCAUCAUUACCACGAGUUUGAAAGCGUCUUUGAUACAGGAGACUUACUCAGGGACCAAAAGCGUUCACAGCUGACUGCUUACCAGAAAGGACAGAACUGUUCUGACAUGGAAUUCCUGCUUCAUUCCUUGGCAGCAAAGAGAAAUCAGCACUUAGAGCUGUGAGAACCUCCAGGUUGUUUUAUCAGGAAGGCAGUUCAAGGAUUGGAGACAAAGAGCACAUAUGACUACUAGACUUAAGAUGCCUACCCCCAGGACCAAGAAUUCCUCAUGGGCAUGAGUACAGCUUCCUCAGCUGGAUCUCCAGACCUUUAGAAGCAGAGGCUCAUGAAUGUAACUGAAGCACUACUAACUGGAUCAGAACGUUUUGAUGUCCUCCAGAGCUGCACACAGGACUGCAGGUGGGGUCUGAGGAGAGCAGAGCCAAGGGGCAGAAUCCCCUCCCUUGCCCUGUGCCCACACUGCUCUUGCUGCAGCCCAGCACAGGGUUGCUGUCUGGGCUGCACUCACACUGCAGGCUCCUGUUGAAUUUUUCAUCACUCCAGACCCUCAGGUCCUUUUCCUCAGGGCUGCUCUCAGCCAUUCCCCACCCAGGCUGGAGCUGUGCUUGGGAUUGUGCCCACCCAAGUGCAGGACCUUACACUUGGCCUUGUUGUAUGUCGUGAGGUUGGCCUGGACACACUUUUGCAGCCUGUCCAGGUCUCUCUGGAUGGAUCCCUGCCCUUCUGUGGUAGAACUUGAUUCACAUCAAAUAAAAAAAAAA